AAACGAAAUGUUGUAACGAGUCAAGCUAUUUUAACUUACAACUUUUCUAAAUCGGAAACGAGUUUUGAAAAAUUUAAACAGAUUUUAAUUGUCUCUCAAUUAAAAUUUUUAGAAACUAGUGAACUGAACCAUCUAAGUAACUAGAAAAAAAAUCAACCGAGAACCCGUUAGUAGUGGCGAGCAAAAGCGGUAUAGACUAUUUUUAAAAGCUACAGGUAGUGUGUUUAAGACUUAAUAGCCAAAGAAGGUAGCAUAAAAUUAAACAUAUGUAGCCCUGUAAAACAUACACCAAAAUUUUAAAAUGCAAAGUAAAAUGAUACAAGUCAUGUAUUAUUUCAACAAUGGGGUCCCACCCUCAAAGUCUAAAAAAUUUUAACGAUUGAUAGCGAAUAGUACCGUAAGGGAAAGGUGAAAUAGAAUUUUCGAAUUUGAAAAGAACUUGAAAUUUAAUGUUUAUAAUCAGUUGUAGCUUUAAAAAAGUGACAGCGUUCCUUUUGCAUAAUGAAUCAAUGAGUUUAUAUCAAUGGCAAGCUUAAACGUUUAAAAGUGUAGGCUAAAAAAAAUUGAGUUUUAAAUUGCGCUCUUUUAAAAAUAUUAUUAGUCUUUGAUAUAAGACCCGAAACUAAGUGAUCUAAUCAUGAACAGGCUGAAUUUAAAGCGGUAACGCUUAUUGAAGGGCCGAACUCGUGUAUGUAGAAAAAUACUGAGAUGAUUUGUGAUUAGGGGUGAAAGGCCAAUCAAACUUAGAGAUAGCUGGUUUUCUGCGAAAUCUAUUUAAGUAGAGCGUUUAAAAUUCUUUAUCUAAGGUAGAGCACUCGAUAAAUAAAGGGGACGUAAAGUUUUACUGCAUUUAAUGAAACUCCAAAUAUAGAAUUAAAAAGAUUUUAAACAGACAGACUGUGAGUGCUAAGAUUCAUAGUCAAAAGGGAAACAGCCCGCAUUAUUUGUUAAGGCCCUUAAAAAUAAUUAAGUGAAAAAGAAAGUAAAAAAAUUUUAACAAUCUAUAGGUAGGCUUGGAAGCAGCCACCCUUUUAAGAAAGCGUAACAGCUCACUGGUUUAGUUUUUUUGCAUCAAAAAUGUAUAGGGACUAAAAUUAUUUGCCGAAACAAUAAAUUUAAAACAAUGCAAUUAAUAAUAUAAUAUUAAAAAAUUGAUUUUAAAUGGUAGCAGAACGUUUUGUAUAUUUAAGAAAGUUUAUAGUUAUAUAAACUGGAAAAAUCAAAAAUGAAAAUAUUGAUAUGAGUAGCGAAAAACAUUGUGAAUAAUAAACAUUGUCACCUUAAGUUCAAGGUUUUUAAGGGAAGGCUAAUCCUCCUUAAUGUUAAUCGGUCCCUAAGAUAAAAACGAAAGUUGUAGUUGAUGGGUAAUUUUUUUAUUAUAUUUUAACGUGACAAAAUACGAAUUUAAUUUUUAUUUGUGAUUUUAAUUAAAAGUUUUUUAGUAUUUUCAAGAAAUAGCUUAGAAUAAUACCGUACUCUAAACCGACACAGGUGAACAAAUUUAGCAAAUUAAGGUGCUUGAAUUAAUUGUAUUGAAGGAACUCGGCAAAAUGACUCCGCAACUUCGGGAGAAGG
Molecule: ribosomal RNA, 1575 nt
Filed under: Skeletonema marinoi
Lineage: Eukaryota; Bacillariophyta; Thalassiosirophyceae; Thalassiosirales; Thalassiosiraceae
Description: partial Bacterial large subunit ribosomal RNA
Rfam family: Bacterial large subunit ribosomal RNA
Source: RNAcentral